GACGAACGCUGGCGGCGUGCCUAAUACAUGCAAGUUGAGCGCUGAAGGUUGGUACUUGUACCAACUGGAUGAGCAGCGAACGGGUGAGUAACGCGUGGGGAAUCUGCCUUUGAGCGGGGGACAACAUUUGGAAACGAAUGCUAAUACCGCAUAAAAACUUUAAACACAAGUUUUAAGUUUGAAAGAUGCAAUUGCAUCACUCAAAGAUGAUCCCGCGUUGUAUUAGCUAGUUGGUGAGGUAAAGGCUCACCAAGGCGAUGAUACAUAGCCGACCUGAGAGGGUGAGCGGCCACAUUGGGACUGAGACCCGGCCCAAACCCCUACGGGAGGCAGCAGUAGGGAAUCUUCGGCAAGGGACGAAAGUCUGACCGAGCAACGCCGCGUGAGUGAAGAAGGUUUUCGGAUCGUAAAACUCUGUUGGUAGAGAAGAACGUUGGUGAGAGUGGAAAGCUCAUCAAGUGACGGUAACUACCCAGAAAGGGACGGCUAACUACGUG
RNAcentral lists this ribosomal RNA (497 nucleotides) under uncultured bacterium. RNAcentral's name for it is "partial 16S ribosomal RNA". It matches the Rfam family "Bacterial small subunit ribosomal RNA", at positions 28 to 507 of the family's 1533-position model. The record is from RNAcentral.